AAUGAACGCUGGCGGCAGGCCUAACACAUGCAAGUCGAGCGAGGACUUCGGUCCUAGCGGCGGACGGGUGAGUAACGCGUGGGAACGUACCCUUUGCUACGGAAUAGCCCCGGGAAACUGGGAGUAAUACCGUAUGUGCUCUUCCAUUGUAGUGAUGGGGGAGGAAAGAUUUAUCGGCAAAGGAUCGGCCCGCGUUGGAUUAGGUAGUUGGUGGGGUAAUGGCCUACCAAGCCGACGAUCCAUAGCUGGUUUGAGAGGAUGAUCAGCCACACUGGGACUGAGACACGGCCCAGACUCCUACGGGUGGCUG
Molecule: ribosomal RNA, 310 nt
Filed under: uncultured Pseudomonadota bacterium
Lineage: Bacteria; Pseudomonadati; Pseudomonadota
Description: bacterial SSU rRNA
Rfam family: Bacterial small subunit ribosomal RNA
Source: RNAcentral